RNAcentral lists this ribosomal RNA (309 nucleotides) under Streptomyces scabiei. Its description in RNAcentral is "bacterial SSU rRNA". It matches the Rfam family "Bacterial small subunit ribosomal RNA", at positions 576 to 882 of the family's 1533-position model. The record is from RNAcentral. Lineage: Bacteria; Bacillati; Actinomycetota; Actinomycetes; Kitasatosporales; Streptomycetaceae.
CGGUCUGUCGCGUCGGAUGUGAAAGCCCGGGGCUUAACCCCGGGUCUGCAUUCGAUACGGGCAGACUAGAGUGUGGUAGGGGAGAUCGGAAUUCCUGGUGUAGCGGUGAAAUGCGCAGAUAUCAGGAGGAACACCGGUGGCGAAGGCGGAUCUCUGGGCCAUUACUGACGCUGAGGAGCGAAAGCGUGGGGAGCGAACAGGAUUAGAUACCCUGGUAGUCCACGCCGUAAACGGUGGGAACUAGGUGUUGGCGACAUUCCACGUCGUCGGUGCCGCAUCUAACGCAUUAUGUUCCCCGCCUGGGGAGUA